RNAcentral lists this ribosomal RNA (523 nucleotides) under Kluyveromyces marxianus. Its description in RNAcentral is "LSU rRNA". It matches the Rfam family "Eukaryotic large subunit ribosomal RNA", at positions 87 to 652 of the family's 3401-position model. The record is from RNAcentral. Lineage: Eukaryota; Fungi; Ascomycota; Saccharomycetes; Saccharomycetales; Saccharomycetaceae.
CGGCGAGUGAGCGGCAAAAGCUCAAAUUUGAAAUCUGGCGUCUUCGACGUCCGAGUUGUAAUUUGAAGAAGGCGACUUUGUAGCUGGUCCUUGUCUAUGUUCCUUGGAACAGGACGUCAUAGAGGGUGAGAAUCCCGUGUGGCGAGGAUCCCAGUUAUUUGUAAAGUGCUUUCGACGAGUCGAGUUGUUUGGGAAUGCAGCUCUAAGUGGGUGGUAAAUUCCAUCUAAAGCUAAAUAUUGGCGAGAGACCGAUAGCGAACAAGUACAGUGAUGGAAAGAUGAAAAGAACUUUGAAAAGAGAGUGAAAAAGUACGUGAAAUUGUUGAAAGGGAAGGGCAUUUGAUCAGACAUGGCGUUUGCUUCGGCUUUCGCUGGGCCAGCAUCAGUUUUAGCGGUUGGAUAAAUCCUCGGGAAUGUGGCUCUGCUUCGGUAGAGUGUUAUAGCCCGUGGGAAUACAGCCAGCUGGGACUGAGGAUUGCGACUUUUGUCAAGGAUGCUGGCGUAAUGGUUAAAUGCCGCCCGU